Molecule: ribosomal RNA, 429 nt
Filed under: bacterium
Lineage: Bacteria
Description: partial 16S ribosomal RNA
Rfam family: Bacterial small subunit ribosomal RNA
Source: RNAcentral
UAGGGAAUCUUCCACAAUGGACGCAAGUCUGAUGGAGCAACGCCGCGUGAGUGAAGAAGGUUUUCGGAUCGUAAAGCUCUGUUGGUGGUGAAGAAGGAUAGAGGCAGUAACUGGUCUUUAUUUGACGGUAAUCAACCAGAAAGUCACGGCUAACUACGUGCCAGCAGCCGCGGUAAUACGUAGGUGGUAAGCGUGGUCCGGAUUUAUUGGGCGUAAAGCGAGCGCAGGCGGAAUGAUAAGUCUGAUGUGAAAGCCCAAGGCUCAACCGUUGAACUGCAUCGGAAACUGUCAUUCUUGAGUGCAGAAGAGGAGAGUGGAAUUCCAUGUGUAGCGGUGGAAUGCGUAGAUAUAUGGAAGAACACCAGUGGCGAAGGCGGCUCUCUGGUCUGCAACUGACGCUGAGGCUCGAAAGCAUGGGUAGCGAACAGG